CGAGGGGCGUGGCCUAGAGGGGCGGGGAGGCGGGGCCACGCCCCCAGGAGGCCGGCGCUUGGCCGCCUUGACCAGUCCGGAGCCGCGCGCGGACGCGAGGUGGGUGGGUCUGCGGAAGCGGGUUCCUCCUCCUUUAAGGUUCGGUGACUCGUGGGCAGCCGGCCGCAGUGUCCGUGCACUUGUUUUCCGCAGAAGGUGAUUAUCGUGGCAACUCCUGUUAGUGCCUUCGCCGGGCACCCAGCACCCGGUCUCUGGCCCUUGGCACUCAGCACCCGGCACCCAGCGCUCAGCCUGCAGAGCACCUGGGCGGUCAAGCAGGACGUCUCCCGCGGGGUCUUGCGCUCUGCCAAAAAUGCAAUACUUGGCGACCUCCGAAAGAACGUGGUAGAACCACCGUAUCUCACUGGCCUCAACUUCAGCCCCUCCAGCCUCCUGGCCUCUCUCCCACACGCAGGCCUUUCCCAGACCAAAGUUCCUGAGGCAGCACUUCCUUCAGGGAGAUCUGGAAGAGAGAGAAGGGGCGAGACCGAACACCUUCUCGGGAGGCCUCCUCUGGCCGCAAGGUAAAAGUCACAGCCCCCACUGGGGGGGGGGGGGGGCUGCCCCUUCUACGCUUUGAUUUUUGCCCCAGGGCUUGUCACUGACAUACAUUGUACUUUAUUUAUCCUGAUUUUCAUCUCUUCCCUAAAAGGUGAAUUCCAUAAGGGCGGGAGGAUGAGUCAAAGCCCAAGCAGGAAACAAAAGGGAACCUUGAACUGGGUUCUUUGAGGAGAGUUUAGUAAAAGGGCCAUUUCCCAAGACUGGCAAGGAGGUAGGGAAGCCUGGGGUGAGGCAGCACCUGAGGGCAGUGACCCAGCCCGGGGGACAGGGAUGUGAGAGAGGACAACAGCCACUGACCCUCCGCUUAGGGCGGCUGGGUCAAGCACCCACUCCGCGGUUGCUCCACAUCACCCACCCCAAGCGGAGCCUGGAGCUGGGGCCCCGGGCACAGUGCUAAGGUGGGGGGGGGGGUGGAAUCUGCACGGUGACACACAGGGAAGUCAGGUCUGUCCCCCGUUGGACCUCCAUCCCUACUGGCGCACAGGAGGUGUGAGUGUCCUGGGGCUGCCGGGACAAAGUACUGCAUGGGGGAGGGGGGGUGCUUAGAACUGUAGAAACACAUUCUCUCACAGUUCUGGCGGCCAGACGUCUGAAAGAAAAAUUUCAGUAGGGCUGCGCUCCCUCGGAAGACUCUAGAAAAGAAACUCCCACAUCUCUCCAGUAGCUCCAGGAGGAUACGGAUGCCCCUUGGCGUCCCUUCACUUGUAAACUCCCGUCUGCAUGGGGCCGUCUUCCCGUGUGUCUGCGUCUGUCUGUCCUCACAAGGACACCAGGCAUAUUGGAUCAAGGCCCAUCCCCACUGAGGACGACCUCAUCUUAACUUGAUGACAGGGGGAGACCCUAUUUCCAAUCACAGAUGCUCGGUUUAAGACUUCAACACAGCCUCGGGGCGCCUGGGUGGCGCAGUCGGUUAAGCGUCCGACUUCAGCCAGGUCACGAUCUCGCGGUCCGGGAGUUCGAGCCCCGCGUCAGGCUCUGGGCUGAUGGCUCAGAGCCUGGAGCCUGUUUCUGAUUCUGUGUCUCCCUCUCUCUCUGCCCCUCCCCCGUUCAUGCUCUGUCUCUCUCUGUCCCAAAAAUAAAAAAAAUAAACGUUGAAAAAAAAAAAAAAGU
Molecule: long non-coding RNA, 1710 nt
Filed under: Felis catus (domestic cat)
Lineage: Eukaryota; Metazoa; Chordata; Mammalia; Carnivora; Felidae
Description: lncRNA (ENSFCAG00000051191.1)
Source: RNAcentral